RNAcentral lists this ribosomal RNA (465 nucleotides) under uncultured bacterium. RNAcentral describes it as "partial 16S ribosomal RNA". It matches the Rfam family "Bacterial small subunit ribosomal RNA", at positions 339 to 795 of the family's 1533-position model. The record is from RNAcentral.
CUACGGUGCGCAGCAGUGGGGAAUAUUGGACAGUGGGGGAAACCCUGAUCCAGCAAUGCCGCGUGUGUGAAGAAGGCCUGCGGGUUGUAAAGCACUUUCGGUUGGGAGGACUGCUUCUAGCACUAAUAUUGUUGGAAGUUGACGUUACCUUCAGAAGAAGCACCGGCUAACUCCGUGCCAGCAGCCGCGGUAAUACGGAGGGUGCAGGCGUUAAUCGGAAUUACUGGGCGUAAAGCGCGCGUAGGCGGCUAGAUCAGUCGGGUGUGAAAGCCCCGGGCUUAACCUGGGAACUGCAUCCGAUACUGUCUAGCUUGAGUACAGGAGAGGAGAGUGGAAUUCCACAUGUAGCGGUGAAAUGCGUAGAUAUGUGGAGGAACACCAAUGGCGAAGGCAGCUCUCUGGCCUGAUACUGACGCUGAGGUGCGAAAGCGUGGGGAGCAAACAGGAUUAGAUACCCGUGUAGUC